ACUUCACUUUUGAUCAGCCCUCUUUCACCCUCAAAUCAAGUUUAGAGCCGUAAGUUAGCUAAUGGACCGCCUCUGGAUGUUGCAUUUGUUUGUUGCUUGAUGGCUUGUAAUGCAAACAAUUAUCUUUUAAAUUUUGGAUUUGGAUUAUGUAAUGGUUUAUCGACAAUGUAAUUUGAACUAUGUAACCUCUUGAUUGGGAUGAUUUUAAUACUUUAAUUAUGAUGUUUUCCAUUUAAUCUUUUGUACCA
Molecule: long non-coding RNA, 248 nt
Organism: Erigeron canadensis
Lineage: Eukaryota; Viridiplantae; Streptophyta; Magnoliopsida; Asterales; Asteraceae
Exons: 2
Source: RefSeq, a predicted model, not a curated record